CAGGGCUUGACAUCCUGCUAACGAGGUAGAGAUACGUCAGGUGCCCUUCGGGGAAAGCAGAGACAGGUGGUGCAUGGUUGUCGUCAGCUCGUGUCGUGAGAUGUUGGGUUAAGUCCCGCAACGAGCGCAACCCUUAUUGUUAGUUGCUACGCAAGAGCACUCUAGCGAGACUGCCGUUGACAAAACGGAGGAAGGUGGGGACGACGUCAAAUCAUCAUGCCCCUUAUGUCCUGGGCUACACGCGUAAUACAAUGGCGGCCAACAGAGGGAGGCAAAGCCGUGAGGUGGAGCGAACCCCUAAAAGCCGUCCCAGUUCAGAUUGCAGUCUGCAACUCGACUGCAUGAAGUCGGAAUCGCUAGUAAUCGCGGAUCAGCAUGCCGCGGUGAAUACGUUCCC
This 397-nucleotide ribosomal RNA is filed under the name uncultured bacterium. RNAcentral's name for it is "bacterial SSU rRNA". It matches the Rfam family "Bacterial small subunit ribosomal RNA", at positions 975 to 1375 of the family's 1533-position model. The record is from RNAcentral.